This 462-nucleotide ribosomal RNA is filed under the name uncultured Pasteuria sp. RNAcentral's name for it is "partial 16S ribosomal RNA". The record is from RNAcentral. Lineage: Bacteria; Bacillati; Bacillota; Bacilli; Caryophanales; Pasteuriaceae.
GACUACCAGGGUAUCUAAGCCCGUUUGCUCCCCUAGCUUUCGCUUCUCAGCGUCAGAAGAGACCCAGUGAGCCGCCUUCGCCUCUGGUGUUCCUGAUGAUAUCAACGCAUUUCACCGCUCCACCAUCAGUUCCGCUCACCUCUAUCUCCCUCGAGCCCGGCAGUUUGAAACGCAAUUCCUCGGUUGAGCCGAGGGCUUUCACAUCUCACUUACCGAACCGCCUACAAACUCUUUAAGCCCAGUAAAUCCGAAUAACGUUUGGGCCUCUCGUAUUACCGCGGCUGCUGGCACGAGAUUAGCCGGCCCUUCCUCCAAGGAUCGGUCAAUAUAAUGGGUGAACCCACUACAAUUUCCUCCCCUUCGACAGCGGUUUACAACCCGAAGGCCUUCAUCCCGCACGCGGCGUCGCUCGGUCAGGCUUGCGCCCAUUGCCGAAGAUUCUCGACUGCAGCCCCCCGUAGG